Molecule: non-coding RNA, 50 nt
Organism: Caenorhabditis elegans
Lineage: Eukaryota; Metazoa; Nematoda; Chromadorea; Rhabditida; Rhabditidae
Source: Ensembl
CUCAGGCUUAGGCUUAGGCUUAGGCGUAGUCUUAGACUAGGCGUAGGCUU